GACGAACGCUGGCGGCGCGCCUAACACAUGCAAGUCGAACGAGAGAUGAGGAGCUUGCUCUUCAAAUCGAGUGGCGAACGGGUGAGUAACGCGUGAGGAACCUGCCUCAAAGAGGGGGACAACAGUUGGAAACGACUGCUAAUACCGCAUAAGCCCACGGCUCGGCAUCGAGCAGAGGGAAAAGGAGCAAUCCGCUUUGAGAUGGCCUCGCGUCCGAUUAGCUGGUUGGUGAGGUAACGGCCCACCAAGGCGACGAUCGGUAGCCGGACUGAGAGGUUGAACGGCCACAUUGGGACUGAGACACGGCCCAGACUCCUACGGGAGGCAGCAGUGGGGAAUAUUGCACAAUGGGGGAAACCCUGAUGCAGCGACGCCGCGUGGAGGAAGAAGGUCUUCGGAUUGUAAACUCCUGUUGUUGAGGAAGAUAAUGACGGUACUCAACAAG
This 445-nucleotide ribosomal RNA is filed under the name uncultured bacterium. RNAcentral describes it as "bacterial SSU rRNA". It matches the Rfam family "Bacterial small subunit ribosomal RNA", at positions 28 to 486 of the family's 1533-position model. The record is from RNAcentral.